RNAcentral lists this ribosomal RNA (50 nucleotides) under Laccaria fraterna. RNAcentral describes it as "partial 28S ribosomal RNA". Lineage: Eukaryota; Fungi; Basidiomycota; Agaricomycetes; Agaricales; Hydnangiaceae. The record is from RNAcentral.
UGACCUCAAAUCAGGUAGGACUACCCGCUGAACUUAAGCAUAUUAAUAAG